Molecule: ribosomal RNA, 486 nt
Filed under: uncultured bacterium
Lineage: Bacteria
Description: bacterial SSU rRNA
Rfam family: Bacterial small subunit ribosomal RNA
Source: RNAcentral
AUUGAACGCUGGCGGCAUGCUUUACACAUGCAAGUCGAGCGGCAGCGCGGGGGCAACCCUGGCGGCGAGCGGCGAACGGGUGAGUAAUAGAUAGGAACGUGUCCGGGAGUGGGGGAUAACUAGCCGAAAGGUUAGCUAAUACCGCAUAUUCUCUACGGAGGAAAGCGGGGGAUCCGAAAGGACCUCGCGCUCGCGGAGUGGCCUAUCUCCGAUUAGCUAGUUGGUGAGGUAAAGGCUUACCAAGGCGACGAUCGGUAGCUGGUCUGAGAGGAUGAUCAGCCACACUGGGACUGAGACACGGCCCAGACUCCUACGGGAGGCAGCAGUGGGGAAUUUUGGACAAUGGGGGCAACCCUGAUCCAGCCAUGCCGCGUGCGGGAAGAAGGCCUUCGGGUUGUAAACCGCUUUUAUUCGGAAAGAAGGAGUUCGGGCUAAUACCCUGGAUGACAGACGGUACCGGAUGAAUAAGCACCGGCUAACUACGUG